GACGAACGCUGGCGGCGUGCUUAACACAUGCAAGUCGAACGGACAGGCCCUGCUUUUGUGGGGUGCUCGAGUGGCGAACGGGUGAGUAACACGUGAGUAACCUGCCCUUGACUUUGGGAUAACUUCAGGAAACUGGGGCUAAUACCGGAUAGGAGCUCCUGCUGCAUGGUGGGGGUUGGAAAGUUUCGGCGGUUGGGGAUGGACUCGCGGCUUAUCAGCUUGUUGGUGGGGUAGUGGCUUACCAAGGGUUUGACGGGUAGCCGGCCUGGGAGGGUGACCGGCCACAUUGGGACUGAGAUACGGCCCAGACUCCUACGGGAGGCAGCAGUGGGGAAUAUUGCACAAUGGGCGGAAGCCUGAUGCAGCAACGCCGCGUGCGGGAUGACGGCCUUCGGGUUGUAAACCGCUUUCGCCUGUGACGAAGCGUGAGUGACGGUAAUGGGUAAAGAAGCACCGGCUAACUACGUG
RNAcentral lists this ribosomal RNA (468 nucleotides) under uncultured bacterium. Its description in RNAcentral is "partial 16S ribosomal RNA". It matches the Rfam family "Bacterial small subunit ribosomal RNA", at positions 28 to 507 of the family's 1533-position model. The record is from RNAcentral.